AGGCGCCGUACGCCGCGAGGCCGGCGCCGCCGAUCCCGGCGGCGACGACUCCCGAGAUCGCGACCCGGCGGCGGAUGC
RNAcentral lists this transfer RNA (78 nucleotides) under Microbacterium album. Its description in RNAcentral is "tRNA-Gly". Lineage: Bacteria; Bacillati; Actinomycetota; Actinomycetes; Micrococcales; Microbacteriaceae. The record is from RNAcentral.